Molecule: ribosomal RNA, 253 nt
Filed under: uncultured bacterium
Lineage: Bacteria
Description: partial 16S ribosomal RNA
Rfam family: Bacterial small subunit ribosomal RNA
Source: RNAcentral
UACGGGGGGUGCGAGCGUUGUCCGGAAUUACUGGGCGUAAAGGGCGCGUAGGCGGUCUUGUAAGUUUGCGGUGAAAGCCCGGGGCUCAACCCCGGGUCUGCCGCGAAUACUGCGAGACUUGAGUACUGUAGAGGCUGGUAGAAUGCCGGGUGUAGCGGUGGAAUGCGUAGAGAUCCGGCAGAAGACCGGUGGCGAAGGCGGCCAGCUGGGCAGUGACUGACGCUGAGGCGCGACAGCGUGGGGAGCAAACAGG